This 311-nucleotide unclassified non-coding RNA is filed under the name uncultured Sordariomycetes. Its description in RNAcentral is "sequence contains ITS1". The stretch from base 1 to 105 matches the Rfam family "5.8S ribosomal RNA", at positions 50 to 154 of the family's 154-position model. The record is from RNAcentral. Lineage: Eukaryota; Fungi; Ascomycota; Sordariomycetes.
GAAAUGCGAUAAGUAAUGUGAAUUGCAGAAUUCAGUGAAUCAUCGAAUCUUUGAACGCACAUUGCGCCCGCCAGUAUUCUGGCGGGCAUGCCUGUUCGAGCGUCAUUUCAACCCUCAAGCCCUGCUUGGUGUUGGGACGCUACGGCCCACCGGCCGUAGGUCCUCAAAUUCAGUGGCGGACUCGCUGAAGCCCUCCUUGCGUAGUAGUUUUCUCAACCUCGCAUCGUGGCCCGGCGUGCUAUCCAGCCGUGAAAAGCCCCCCUUCUCCAAAGGUUGACCUCGGAUCAGGUAGGAAUACCCGCUGAACUUAA